GCAGGGUGCAAGCGUUAAUCGGAAUUACUGGGCGUAAAGCGUGCGCAGGCGGCUUUGCAAGACAGAUGUGAAAUCCCCGGGCUCAACCUGGGAACUGCAUUUGUGACUGCAUGGCUAGAGUACGGUAGAGGGGGAUGGAAUUCCGCGUGUAGCAGUGAAGUGCGUAGAUAUGCGGAGGAACACCGAUGGCGAAGGCAAUCCCCUGGACCUGUACUGACGCUCAUGCACGAAAGCGUGGGGAGCAAACAGGAUUAGAUACCCUGGUAGUCCACGCCCUAAACGAUGUCAACUGGUUGUUGGACGGCUUGCUGUUCAGUAACGAAGCUAACGCGUGAAGUUGACCGCCUGGGGAGUACGGCCGCAAGGUUG
RNAcentral lists this ribosomal RNA (369 nucleotides) under uncultured Pseudomonadota bacterium. RNAcentral's name for it is "bacterial SSU rRNA". It matches the Rfam family "Bacterial small subunit ribosomal RNA", at positions 527 to 896 of the family's 1533-position model. Lineage: Bacteria; Pseudomonadati; Pseudomonadota. The record is from RNAcentral.